GCGGCGGCGCCGGCCUGGCCUGGCCUGGCUGAGGGGAGGCGGCGGGCGGGCGCGAUGGCGGAGGCCGGGCCACAGGCGCCGCCGCCCCCGGGCACUCCAAGCCGGCACGAAAAGAGCCUGGGACUGCUCACCACCAAGUUCGUGUCCCUUCUGCAGGAGGCCAAGGACGGCGUGCUUGACCUCAAGCUGGCAGCUGACACCCUAGCUGUACGCCAGAAGCGGCGGAUUUACGACAUUACCAAUGUUUUGGAAGGUAUCGGGCUAAUCGAGAAAAAGUCCAAGAACAGCAUCCAGUGGAAGUGAGUGGGCAUAGUGGGAGGGUAGUAGAGUCUCCCACCCAGAAGUGUCGGGCGUGGGGUGGAGGGUGCCGAAGAAGGCAGGGGCCAUGGGACCCAGAGUUCUCAGCAGUCCCUCUCAGCCCCACUCCCUGGGCUCAGGGGUGUGGGGCCUGGCUGCAAUACCCGGGAGAUUGCUGACAAACUGAUUGAGCUCAAGGCAGAGAUCGAGGAGCUGCAGCAGCGGGAGCAAGAACUAGACCAGCACAAGGUGUGGGUGCAGCAGAGCAUCCGGAACGUCACAGAGGACGUGCAGAACAGCUGAUAUCCUCCUGGCGGUCCCUGCUGGGGGGAGUGGGCAAGGGGCCCUCUGGUUCAACUUGCCCUGAGCCCUGUUCCUCUUGGGAGUUUGUCUUAUAGCCACUGGCCAUG
RNAcentral lists this small RNA (707 nucleotides) under Pan troglodytes (chimpanzee). Its description in RNAcentral is "retained intron". The record is from RNAcentral. Lineage: Eukaryota; Metazoa; Chordata; Mammalia; Primates; Hominidae.